Long non-coding RNA from Actinia tenebrosa (Australian red waratah sea anemone), 623 nucleotides. RefSeq lists it as uncharacterized. The record is from RefSeq and is a predicted model, not a curated record. Lineage: Eukaryota; Metazoa; Cnidaria; Anthozoa; Actiniaria; Actiniidae.
UUUAAGUAUCUCGAGUUGCCAGCCGAUUUUCAUCUCGCUAACGAUUCCACCUUUCCCGAAUUCGCUUGAGAGACCAUGAAACACUAUGGCUCCAAGACAAAGUUGAACUUGAUAAAAUACAGUAAAUGUAAGAACGCAACAAGUCAAACCUCGACUUGAAGCUAUUGUUUCGCGUACUCAAAUAAAUUCGGGAAAGUUCUAUUCUCUUCCAGCAUUCAUUCAUGUUAAAAAAAUAGUACAUGAUUUUUUAAAUGCGUUUUUUUAAAUUCAUUUCUCUCUCUGAUAUAUUCAGCAGGUGAUGACACACCGUGCAAAUACCACUACCGUUCUGUCAUUAACGACCAUUGUUUGGCAUGCUGUUGAAUUUAUGAAUUAUCAUUUUGUUCCCCCUGAAUUUGUAGACUGGGAUGACCUAGCAUGAGACGAUUUCUCACACCAGGAUUAGCGAUGCCAUGUCCAAAGUUAGAUUGUCUGACGGUCUACUUCGCCAGAUGUGCUGCUCUGCAUGCGUUUCGUUAGACUUCAAAAUUUAUUUUAAAUAACAGAAAAUUAAAAUUUUAGUAGAGUCCAGCAAGAUAUCACCUACCUUAUAGAUAUAUUAUGACUUUAAUACUUUUAUUCGC